AUUGAACGCUGGCGGCAUGCCUUACACAUGUAAGUCGAACGGCAGCGCGGGAGCAAUCCUGGUGGCGAGUGGCGAACGGGUGAGUAAUGCAUCGGAACGUGCCAUUGAGUGGGGGAUAACGUAGCGAAAGUUACGCUAAUACCGCAUAUUCUGUGUGCAGGAAAGCAGGGGAUCGCAAGACCUUGCGCUCUUUGAGCGGCCGAUGUCAGAUUAGCUAGUUGGUGAGUAAAGGCUCACCAAGGCGACGAUCUGUAGCGGGUCUGAGAGGAUGAUCCGCCACACUGGGACUGAGACACGGCCCAGACUCCUACGGGAGGCAGCAGUGGGGAAUUUUGGACAAUGGGGGCAACCCUGAUCCAGCCAUGCCGCGUGAGUGAAGAAGGCCUGGUUGUAAGACUCUUCGUCCGGAGGAAAACGACACAGUAAGUAACCUACGUGUGGAGUGACGGUACCGGAACGUAACGAAGAACCGGACGUAACUAACGUACG
RNAcentral lists this ribosomal RNA (489 nucleotides) under uncultured bacterium. RNAcentral's name for it is "bacterial SSU rRNA". It matches the Rfam family "Bacterial small subunit ribosomal RNA", at positions 30 to 529 of the family's 1533-position model. The record is from RNAcentral.